RNAcentral lists this ribosomal RNA (1502 nucleotides) under Triticum aestivum (bread wheat). RNAcentral's name for it is "partial small subunit ribosomal RNA". Lineage: Eukaryota; Viridiplantae; Streptophyta; Magnoliopsida; Poales; Poaceae. The record is from RNAcentral.
CUAGCUCCGGGGGAGCGUGCUUGGCCCUCGCUCCGGAGGAGCGCUUUUUUUUAUAGACUGCUAGGUCCGACGGGAGCUAGCAGAGCGAUGCUCCUGCUCUUGGUACGGGGUCGGCGGUAUCACCUCGGGAUGCGGCGGCGGCUCUAGCCUCUCCUCGGCGGCGACGGCUCCAAGCUCUCCUCGACCGGUGGUGCUGGAGGGAGGGGUCCGCCGGCGGUGGUGGGGGAGGGGUUCGUCGGUACAUGUCGUCCCGCCGCGGGUGCGCGGACCGGAUACAUCCAGAGCCGGAGGGAGGAGGGAAGCAGGUUCCGGUCCUCGAGGGGGAGGGGCUGGGCUAGACCACCUCUCUCCCGGUCCGGAACGGUGAGGCCACCAGCGAUACCGGUCUAGACAGGCCCCAUCAGCGGCAUCUCGGAGAUACCGCCGCCUCAUCGUCGUCGGGCUGUCUUCCACCCACGGUCUAGCAGCAGGUCGUCGAGCGGCAGCCUCGAAGAGUGAUGUCCGCUACCUCCGGCCACGAUGAGCCAGAUAGAUACUACAAACAAAGGACACAAAUGUACCGUCUCACUAACGACGUGACCGAAAACCGAUACCUACGUUCAACCCUUGAGUAAGUCACUAAACUCCCACGUCCAUCCCUACUACGACGCCUACCCUACCCUUCUACACACACACACGAUCGACGAAGUGUAUGCUGAGUCUCUUUCUUAACGAAACGUCCAACGGUUGUAGUGCUUAAAGUAUGAAUACCUCACCUCGGUGGUUUGUUAAAUACUCUAAAGGCGGUACCUGCGGCGGAGCGAGUACCCGAGGAGGAGGUGGCUGCGUGCGUGGCUGCCCCUCGUGGCCUACCCGUAGUGGUAGUACCCGCAGACGAUGCUGCCGCCGCAGGAGCGGCGACUGUGAGUCCUGGUCGUGGCCAUGGGGGGGGGGAGCGCCUAGGUUGUCGUCGCCGAUCCAGUCCCAGCCUCUACCGCGUAGCCGGUAGGCUAAGGCGGCCAGCAUCUAGUUUGUCUCCCGCACUAUUUCAGGUCGUCUUCACCACCGGCCCUAAAAAUGACAAUUAAGCUAGACGUUUUGUCACUAGUUAUAUCAUAUACACGUCAUUUUAUCUGUACAACGACUAUCACAACAUCAUCACACACUAAACCAACGUAUCAAAAGAUUACCUUUGUUCACUUUUUGAGAAACUAAAAGACUAAAGAAAUACGAACGUCUCUCCAAGGUGCUGAAGCCAAACCGAUAGUAGUUUUAACCUCCUCUCGGGCUACGUAACCUCUCGUAGUAGGCGCUCAAGGUGUCCUAGCUUAACUCGCUUCAUCGUAAAGACCAUUUUACCUAUCUAUCCCCAGAGAUUGUCUACAAUGGUAUACAAUAACUUAGAGUUCUAUCCGUUCAUAGAGACUGUCUACAAUCGUAUAUAAGAACGUAGAGCUCUACUAUAACCUAUCGAACGCACACGUAUAAAGAGUUCCUAUUAACUAAAUACACUAUACCGACGU